Small nuclear RNA from Sitodiplosis mosellana (orange wheat blossom midge), 165 nucleotides. RefSeq annotates it as U1 spliceosomal RNA. Lineage: Eukaryota; Metazoa; Arthropoda; Insecta; Diptera; Cecidomyiidae. The transcript has a single exon. The record is from RefSeq and is a predicted model, not a curated record.
AUACUUACCUGGCGUAGAGGUUAUUCGUGAUCAUCAAGGCGAAUCCUCCGGAAUGAGUCUCUUUCAUUGCACUAUCGAAAGAGAUGAACUCUGCGAUUACGGCUUACGUUCGUAACUCGUGCGUAAUAUUUUUGGUAGCCGGGAUUAGCGUUCGCGCUAUCCCGA